UACAGAGGUCUCAAGCGUUGUUCGGAUUCAUUGGGCGUAAAGAGCUUGUAGGCGGUUUGUCGCGUCUGCUGUGAAAUUUCGGGGCUCAACCCCGAACUUGCAGUGGGUACGGGCAGACUAGAGUGUGGUAGGGGAGACUGGAAUUCCUGGUGUAGCGGUGAAAUGCGCAGAUAUCAGGAGGAACACCGAUGGCGAAGGCAGGUCUCUGGGCCAUAACUGACGCUGAGAAGCGAAAGCAUGGGGAGCAAACAGG
RNAcentral lists this ribosomal RNA (253 nucleotides) under uncultured bacterium. RNAcentral's name for it is "partial 16S ribosomal RNA". It matches the Rfam family "Bacterial small subunit ribosomal RNA", at positions 524 to 776 of the family's 1533-position model. The record is from RNAcentral.